RNAcentral lists this transfer RNA (93 nucleotides) under Bacteroides sp. Its description in RNAcentral is "tRNA-Ser". It matches the Rfam family "tRNA". From Rfam's summary of the family: Transfer RNA (tRNA) molecules are approximately 80 nucleotides in length. Their secondary structure includes four short double-helical elements and three loops (D, anti-codon, and T loops). Further hydrogen bonds mediate the characteristic L-shaped molecular structure. tRNAs have two regions of fundamental functional importance: the anti-codon, which is responsible for specific mRNA codon recognition, and the 3' end, to which the tRNAs corresponding amino acid is attached (by aminoacyl-tRNA synthetases). tRNAs cope with the degeneracy of the genetic code in two manners: having more than one tRNA (with a specific anti-codon) for a particular amino acid; and 'wobble' base-pairing, i.e. permitting non-standard base-pairing at the 3rd anti-codon position. The record is from RNAcentral. Lineage: Bacteria; Pseudomonadati; Bacteroidota; Bacteroidia; Bacteroidales; Bacteroidaceae.
GGAGAGGUGGCCGAGUGGUCGAAGGCGUACGCUUGGAAAGCGUAUAUACUGAGUGAAUCGGUAUCGAGGGUUCGAAUCCCUCUCUCUCCGCAA